UGUUGUUUGUUUCUUUCCGUUGUUGCUUCUUAGUUCCGGUAAUGUUGCGUUCAUGAGGAUUCGUUCGAUUGCUCCCGUUCGUCUUCUUCAUGGACUCGUUCUUCUUCCUUGCGGGAUCUCAGGCAAGAUGACCACUACCCUGGAUCGCACUACUAUCAUUGCUAUGCUAGUUGCUUCGUUCUAUCGCUAUGUUGCGCUACCUAUUACCUGUUUAUCAAGCCAUCCCAAAUUGUCAUGUCAGCCUCUAACCUUUGACACCUUUCCUAUGCAAACCGUUGCUUGGCUAUGUUACCGCUUUGCUCAGCCCUCUUAUAGCGUUGCUAGUUGUAGGUGAAGUUGAAGAUUGCUCCAUGGUGGACAGGAUUUUGGUUGGGAUAUCACAAUAUCUCUUAUAUUAUUAAUGCAUCUAUAUACUUGGUAAAGGGUGGAAGGCUCGGCCUUAUGCCUGGUGUUUUGUUCCACUCUUGCCGCCCUAGUUUCCGUCAUACCGGUGUUAUGUUCCCAGAUUUUGCGUUCCUUACGCGGUCGGGUGAUUUAUGGGACCCCCUUGACAGUUCGCUUUGAAUAAAACUCCUCCAGCAAGGCCCAACCUUGGUUUUACCAUUUGCCUCACCACCACCUAUAUUUCCCUUGGGAGUAAUUAACGCAAGGGUCAUCUUUAUUUUAGCCCCCCCGGGCCAGUGCUUGUCUAAGUGUUGGUCCGAACCGGGCAGACUGCGGGGCCACCUCGGGGCAACUCGAGGGCUGGUUUUACUCGUAGGCUGACCUAUCCGGUGUUGCCCUGAGAACAAGAUAUGCGCAGCUCCUAUCAGGAUUGUCGGUGCAUCGGGCGGCUUUGCUGGUCUUGUUUUACCAUUGUCGAAAUGUCUUGUAAACCGGGAUUCCAAGUCUGAUCGGGUCUUCCUGGGAGAAGGUCUAUUCCUUCGUUGAUCGCGAGAGCUUGUCAUGGGCUAAGUUGGGACACCCCUGCAGGGUAUAACCUUUCGAAAGCCGUGCCUGCGGUUAUAGGCAGAUGGGAAUUUGUUAAUGUCCGGUUGUAGACAACUUGACACCAGAUCCGAAUUAAAACGCAUCAACCGCGUGUGUAGCCGUGAUGGUCCCUUCUCGGCGGAGUCCGGGAAGUGAACACGGUCUUUGGGUUAUUAUUGGCGUAAGUAGGAGUUCAGGAUCACUUCUUGAUCAUUGCUAGCUUCACGACCGUUCCGCUUGCUCUCUUCUCGCUCUUAUUUGCGUACGUUAGCCACCAUAUAUGCUUAGUCGCUGCUGCAGCCUCACCACUUUACCCCUUCCUUUCCCUUUAAGCUUUGCUAGUCUUGAUACCCAUUUUAAUGGGAUUGCUGAGUCCUCGUGGCUCACAGAUUACUACAACAACAGUUGCAGGUACAGGUUAUGCGAUGAUCAUGACGCGAGAGCGAUGCUUGCUUGCCUUGAGUUCUUCUUCUGCUUCUUCUUCGAUCAGGGGAUAGGUUCCAGGUCGGCAGCCUGGGCUAGCAGGGUGGAUGUCGUUUGAGUUUCUGUUUGUGAUUCAUCCGUAGACGGAUGAUGCUAUUAUGUAUUGUGAUGUUGUAUUCGUGUGGCAUUGUAUGCCUUAUGUAUGUAUCCCCAUCUAUUAUGUAAUGUUGAUGUAAUGAUAUCCACCUUGCAAAAGCAUUUCAAUAUGCGGGUCUAUCCUUGGUGGGACCUUCGAGUUCCUUUUGGAUAGGGUCGCAUAUUGGGCGUGACAAGGGGCAGUACAUUACACAAAAUCGUAGGUGGCAUGUAGGAAUUCCAGUGCACUACAUUAGGCUCCCAUAGAGUGCCUGCUAGUCCAGCAUACAGAGUCAUGGCUAGUUUAUGGUACGCACACAAUCGUUAAUUUGUGGUUUAAAUAUGCGCAAGGGACAUGCGAUGUAGUAUCAUGUAGAG
This 1905-nucleotide long non-coding RNA is filed under the name Triticum aestivum (bread wheat). RNAcentral's name for it is "long non-coding RNA (TAES_LNC022516)". The record is from RNAcentral. Lineage: Eukaryota; Viridiplantae; Streptophyta; Magnoliopsida; Poales; Poaceae.